RNAcentral lists this ribosomal RNA (564 nucleotides) under Bacillus licheniformis. RNAcentral describes it as "bacterial SSU rRNA". It matches the Rfam family "Bacterial small subunit ribosomal RNA", at positions 369 to 920 of the family's 1533-position model. The record is from RNAcentral. Lineage: Bacteria; Bacillati; Bacillota; Bacilli; Caryophanales; Bacillaceae.
GUGUUGAUGUCGAGUCUGACGGAGCACGCCGCGUGAGUGAUGAAGGUUUUCGGAUCGUAAAACUCUGUUGUUAGGGAAGAACAAGUACCGUUCGAAUAGGGCGGUACCUUGACGGUACCUAACCAGAAAGCCACGGCUAACUACGUGCCAGCAGCCGCGGUAAUACGUAGGUGGCAAGCGUUGUCCGGAAUUAUUGGGCGUAAAGCGCGCGCAGGCGGUUUCUUAAGUCUGAUGUGAAAGCCCCCGGCUCAACCGGGGAGGGUCAUUGGAAACUGGGGAACUUGAGUGCAGAAGAGGAGAGUGGAAUUCCACGUGUAGCGGUGAAAUGCGUAGAGAUGUGGAGGAACACCAGUGGCGAAGGCGACUCUCUGGUCUGUAACUGACGCUGAGGCGCGAAAGCGUGGGGAGCGAACAGGAUUAGAUACCCUGGUAGUCCACGCCGUAAACGAUGAGUGCUAAGUGUUAGAGGGUUUCCGCCCUUUAGUGCUGCAGCAAACGCAUUAAGCACUCCGCCUGGGGAGUACGGUCGCAAGACUGAAACUCAAAUGUUUGUGGAACGGGGGA